AGUGAUCUGCUGCAAAAUACCAAGGACUAGGAACUUCGUAGAGCUGGGGAAGAACAGUAGCAUACCAUGCUAAGGACAGCAACUCAGAGGAGGUUUUUCUUUGGUUACUUGCAGUUAGAUUUAACGUCAGCUACAUAUGAAGAGACGUACCUGGAAUGGCUUCGGCUUCUGGAAUAAGAGCGGCGCCGUCUUGAUCCAGGAACUGACAUUCUGCCCUGCCUCAAGCAAGCCGUCAGACAGGGCUCUUUCAGCUGCUUUGGACGUAGGCUGCACAGAAUUUUGGUUCAGUCUAUUUUUGACCCACCUAUUCCCAUCUUACGUACACUGAAAUUAAAGCUGUUCAAAAAAAAGCAACGCAUCCAGUAGAAGAUUAAUCAUGCCAUGCUCUACUUACAAUUAUUAAUACCAGAAGCAAAGACAAGCUACUGAUGGUGUGAAGCAUUAACAACAGAAGACAUUUGAAGAAUCUCAGUACGUACCUGAACUAGAGUUACAUAUUCAAUUACAGACCAGUUUCUAAUACGUCAAAGUUUGUUUAGAACAAAUUUUACACAUCCUUAAAAGAGAGCCAUAAAAGAAAGCGUGCCUGUAAGAACAAGUGUUUUUAACCAUUUCUAUUUUUGAUAAGGAAACACUACCUUUUACAACUACUAUCGGAACUCUGCUCCCUGUUCUGCCCCCUCCAACCCAUGAUGCAGAUAAAUACGAACCAUUUCACCUCGCAUGUGUUCACACGCACUGCAGUCUAUGCAGUGUGCUAGCUGGCAUUUCCACUACCUCACUCUCCACUCCCUCAGACUUGGACAAAAUUUUAGCGUUUAGCAGAGGUUUUGUAUGAUUGCUUGUAGUCCGGAAGCACCCUUUUCCUGAAACUCCCUUUGAAACAGUUUCCCAAUGAGGAAAUUCUUAAGAGACUGUGCAAGAAUGAUGCUAUAUUUCCGAACAGCUCUAGCACAUUAGAAGUUGAUGAGUAAAACCAGAAGUGACAAGGACAAACUUCUGCGACACUAAUGAGUCUUACCAUUGGCCUGGUUAAAGUCUGAUUUGACAGGGCUUAAAGACUGAAAAAUAUCUGUACAUGGUGUUGGUUUAUGUUGAGCAAAAAAGAAAAAUGCAUUCUCCUACUGUCCAAUAACAUGCAAAUCUGUGCAGAUGCAACUCCCAAUGUAGUAUGUAAUAUUAAUGACUGCAUAUAUUCAAACGUACUUCAAUAUUGACUUAAUGCAUUACGUAGAAAAACCUCCUCAUAUGCAUAUGAGCACACAGACUUAUUUUAACAAAAUGGAGUGAGGAAUACAGGUCUAUACAAGUUUUUCUUGAUGAAACUGAAGCUAACUUGUUUACCCUUUGUGCUCUUUAUUAGAGGGCAAAGAAAGGGGCCCCAUACCUUAAGAUCCUGCCAGCUGCAGCGGCUUGACAAAUUUUCCACAAUCAAUCUGUAUUCUGUACGAGUAGGAGGACCGUACUUAUCUCUUCCGCUUCUUCUAUAACCAUAUCCACCUUUAGGAGGUGACAAGCAGACAGCAGUACUUCAACUACGGAAAUGGCGCGCUCGCUGUACACCCCAAACAAAAACUAUUCUGCCCCACAUGUUUGUAAGUACUUUAAAACUUCACCCACCCUCUAGUCUAAAUUAGAUUCCCAUUGUAUAAAAUGUUAAAAAGAUGCAAAGCAUUCUAAAGAGUCAUUACUGCAAUGCUAACACACAAUUAAAACAAUGCACAUCAUUAUAAUUAACAUGCAAUUAAAUUUAUUUUAAAAAAAUCUUGAAAGAAGAAAUCAAAUCAUUUAAGCUAGUUUACUAGUGUUACUUACAUUGCUUAAAGGUUUUCUGAAUAUCUGAUAUGAAUAAAGAUUUUCAGGCACCUAUUUCAGAUUAAUCUCAUCUGUCUCUAACCCUUGGGAUCCUCACCACCCAGGUCUAAUAGGAAAAGGUUGCGGUCGUCACAUGGCUUCCUUUUUUGUCGGCCAAGGGCCACAAAGGUCAAAGAGCCACUCAUGGAAAGGUAACCCAAGGUCAGCAAAUGGAACAGGCAGUCAUCUUAGCCUCAAAGGACUCUUAAUUAAAACAUUGAGUCUUUGUUAAAUCUAUGUUAAACAAUCACAUUACAAAUAAACCAUUAAAAGAGGUAAAUAAAAUGAUAAUAA
Molecule: long non-coding RNA, 2148 nt
Organism: Rhea pennata
Lineage: Eukaryota; Metazoa; Chordata; Aves; Rheiformes; Rheidae
Exons: 3
Source: RefSeq, a predicted model, not a curated record